CACCUAAAUAAUUCUUCCCAAGACAUUCUUUUUUUUUUACAGCACAGGAAGCAGCUCAAGGGUAACAAAAAGAAAGUGUAGGGAAAAAAAAGCCCGCUAAUUGGUGCUCCCACAAGGCAAAAAGUAAAGAGUGCCCAAAAGAGAGGUCAAUUUUGGAUGGAGAGAUGCCUUGAUACACUCUCCCACAAGGCAAAAAGUAGAGCAGCCAGAAGAGAGGUCAGUUUCAGGUGGAGAGAUGCCUUGAUACACUCUCCCACAAGGCAAAAAGUAGAGCAGCCAGAAGAGAGGUCAGUUUCAGGUGGAGAGAUGCCUUGAUACACUCUCCCACAAGGCAAAAAGUAGAGCAGCCAAAAGAGAGGUCAGUUUCAGGUGGAGAGAUACCUUGAUACACUCUCCCACAAGGCAAAAAGUAGAGCAGCCAAAAGAGAGGUCAGUUUCAGGUGGAGAGAUACCUUGAUACACU
Molecule: long non-coding RNA, 463 nt
Organism: Eriocheir sinensis (Chinese mitten crab)
Lineage: Eukaryota; Metazoa; Arthropoda; Malacostraca; Decapoda; Varunidae
Exons: 3
Source: RefSeq, a predicted model, not a curated record